AUCCCAGAGGGGUCAAAGGAGCAAUCCGGUGAAGGGUGGGCUCGCGUCCGAUUAGAUAGUUGGUGAGGUAACGGCCCACCAAGUCGACGAUCGGUAGCCGACCUGAGAGGGUGAUCGGCCACAUUGGGACUGAGACACGGCCCAAACUCCUACGGGAGGCAGCAGUGGGGAAUAUUGGGCAAUGGGGGAAACCCUGACCCAGCAACGCCGCGUGAGGGAAGAAGGUUUUCGGAUCGUAAACCUCUGUCCUUGGUGAAGAGUGAGAGACGGUAGCCAAGGAGGAAGCCCCGGCUAACUACGUGCCAGCAGCCGCGGUAAUACGUAGGGGGCGAGCGUUGUCCGGAAUGAUUGGGCGUAAAGGGCGCGUAGGCGGCCCGGUAAGUCUGAAGUGAAAGUCCUGCUUUCAAGGUGGGAAUUGCUUUGGAUACUGUCGGGCUUGAGUGCAGGAGAGGUAAGUGGAAUUCCCAGUGUAGCGGUGAAAUGCGUAGAGAUUGGGAGGAACACCAGUGGCGAAGGCGACUUACUGGACUGUAACUGACGCUGAGGCGCGAAAGUGUGGGGAGCAAACAGGAUUAGAUAC
RNAcentral lists this ribosomal RNA (580 nucleotides) under uncultured rumen bacterium. RNAcentral describes it as "bacterial SSU rRNA". It matches the Rfam family "Bacterial small subunit ribosomal RNA", at positions 189 to 785 of the family's 1533-position model. The record is from RNAcentral.